This 346-nucleotide RNase P RNA is filed under the name Promethearchaeota archaeon. RNAcentral's name for it is "Candidatus Lokiarchaeota archaeon (marine sediment metagenome) RNase P RNA component". It matches the Rfam family "Archaeal RNase P". From Rfam's summary of the family: Ribonuclease P (RNase P) is a ubiquitous endoribonuclease, found in archaea, bacteria and eukarya as well as chloroplasts and mitochondria. Its best characterised activity is the generation of mature 5'-ends of tRNAs by cleaving the 5'-leader elements of precursor-tRNAs. RNAcentral also lists the same sequence under 1 other name. The record is from RNAcentral. Lineage: Archaea; Promethearchaeati; Promethearchaeota.
CGAAGAGCAAGCGCUGCUUCCGGGUUUCGACCUGAGGAAACUCCCUUCUCCAGCCAGGCAGCGGUGUGGAACAUCCACGAGGUGAGAACCUCCCUCUGAGAACAGAAAUGAUACGUCCUAACAAGAUACGAUGAUGAUUCGGAACGACGACGUGGUGACACGGUUGCAAACUCGAUGAAGACUUGUUAGGAAUAGUUGAAACAGCUCAUGACCGUUGGAGCAAGUCCAAGUAGAUUUCGGAUGAGACGCCUGGGCAACGAAAUGGGUAGGACGCAUAGCUAAAUGCAGCAAGAAGAAUCUGGGCAACCUUAUUCUUGGAACAGAAAAGGGGUUACUCUGCUGAUCG